GAUGAACGCUGGCGGCGUGCCUAAUACAUGCAAGUCGAGCGAACGGACGAGAAGCUUGCUUCUCUGAUGUUAGCGGCGGACGGGUGAGUAACACGUGGAUAACCUACCUAUAAGACUGGGAUAACUUCGGGAAACCGGAGCUAAUACCGGAUAAUAUUUUGAACCGCAUGGUUCAAAAGUGAAAGACGGUCUUGCUGUCACUUAUAGAUGGAUCCGCGCUGCAUUAGCUAGUUGGUAAGGUAACGGCUUACCAAGGCAACGAUGCAUAGCCGACCUGAGAGAGUGAUCGGCCACACUGGAACUGAGACACGGUCCAGACUCCUACGGGAGGCAGCAGUAGGGAAUCUUCCGCAAAGGGCGAAAGCCUGACGGAGCAACGCCGCGUGAGUGAUGAAGGUCUUCGGAUCGUAAAACUCUGUUAUUAGGGAAGAACAUAUGUGUAAGUAACUGUGCACAUCUUGACGGUACCUAAUCAGAAAGCCGCGGCUAACUACGUG
RNAcentral lists this ribosomal RNA (497 nucleotides) under uncultured bacterium. RNAcentral describes it as "partial 16S ribosomal RNA". It matches the Rfam family "Bacterial small subunit ribosomal RNA", at positions 28 to 507 of the family's 1533-position model. The record is from RNAcentral.